Molecule: ribosomal RNA, 440 nt
Filed under: uncultured bacterium
Lineage: Bacteria
Description: partial 16S ribosomal RNA
Rfam family: Bacterial small subunit ribosomal RNA
Source: RNAcentral
CCUACGGGCGGCAGCAGAGGGGAAUAUUGCACAAUGGGGGAAACCCUGAUGCAGCGACGCCGCGUGAGUGAAGAAGUAAUUCGUUAUGUAAAGCUCUAUCAGCAGGGAAGAAAAUGACGGUACCUGAGUAAGAAGCCCCGGCUAACUACGUGCCAGCAGCCGCGGUAAUACGUAGGGGGCAAGCGUUAUCCGGAUUUACUGGGUGUAAAGGGAGCGUAGACGGCAGUGCAAGUCUGGAGUGAAAGGCGGGGGCUCAACCCCCGGACUGCUCUGGAAACUGUACGGCUGGAGUGCAGGAGAGGUAAGUGGAAUUCCAGGUGUAGGAGUGAAAUCCGUAGAUAUCUGGAGGAACAUCAGUGGCGAAGGCGACUAUCUGGCACAUAACUGACGCUGAGGAGCGAAAGCGUGGGUAGCAAACAGGAUUAGAUACCCGAGUAGUC